GACGAACGCUGGCGGCGUGCCUAAUACAUGCAAGUAGAACGCUGAAGAGAGGAGCUUGCUCUUCUUGGAUGAGUUACGAACGGGUGAGUAACGCGUAGGUAACCUGCCUGGUAGCGGGGGAUAACUAUUGGAAACGAUAGCUAAUACCGCAUAAAAUUGAUUAUUGCAUGAUAAUUAAUUGAAAGAUGCAAUUGCAUCACUACCAGAUGGACCUGCGUUGUAUUAGCUAGUUGGUGAGGUAACGGCUCACCAAGGCGACGAUACAUAGCCGACCUGAGAGGGUGAUCGGCCACACUGGAACUGAGACACGGCCCAGACUCCUACGGGAGGCAGCAGUAGGGAAUCUUCGGCAAUGGGGGGAACCCUGACCGAGCAACGCCGCGUGAGUGAAGAAGGUUUUCGGAUCGUAAAGCUCUGUUGUAAGAGAAGAACGGGUGUGAGAGUGGAAAGUUCACACUGUGACGGUAUCUUACCAGAAAGGGACGGCUAACUACGUGCCAGCAGCCGCGGUAAUACGUAGGUCCCGAGCGUUGUCCGGAUUUAUUGGGCGUAAAGCGAGCGCAGGCGGUUAGAUAAGUCUGAAGUUAAAGGCUGUGGCUUAACCAUAGUAUGCUUUGGAAACUGUUUAACUUGAGUGCAGAAGGGGAGAGUGGAAUUCCAUGUGUAGCGGUGAAAUGCGUAGAUAUAUGGAGGAACACCGGUGGCGAAAGCGGCUCUCUGGUCUGUAACUGACGCUGAGGCUCGAAAGCGUGGGGAGCAAACAGGAUUAGAUACCCUGGUAGUCCACGCCGUAAACGAUGAGUGCUAGGUGUUAGGCCCUUUCCGGGGCUUAGUGCCGCAGCUAACGCAUUAAGCACUCCGCCUGGGGAGUACGACCGCAAGGUUGAAACUCAAAGGAAUUGACGGGGGCCCGCACAAGCGGUGGAGCAUGUGGUUUAAUUCGAAGCAACGCGAAGAACCUUACCAGGUCUUGACAUCCCUCUGACCGCUCUAGAGAUAGAGUUUUCCUUCGGGACAGAGGUGACAGGUGGUGCAUGGUUGUCGUCAGCUCGUGUCGUGAGAUGUUGGGUUAAGUCCCGCAACGAGCGCAACCCCUAUUGUUAGUUGCCAUCAUUCAGUUGGGCACUUUAGCGAGACUGCCGGUAAUAAACCGGAGGAAGGUGGGGAUGACGUCAAAUCAUCAUGCCCCUUAUGACCUGGGCUACACACGUGCUACAAUGGCUGGUACAACGAGUCGCAAGCCGGUGACGGCAAGCUAAUCUCUGAAAGCCAGUCUCAGUUCGGAUUGUAGGCUGCAACUCGCCUACAUGAAGUCGGAAUCGCUAGUAAUCGCGGAUCAGCACGCCGCGGUGAAUACGUUCCCGGGCCU
This 1369-nucleotide ribosomal RNA is filed under the name uncultured bacterium. Its description in RNAcentral is "bacterial SSU rRNA". It matches the Rfam family "Bacterial small subunit ribosomal RNA", at positions 28 to 1381 of the family's 1533-position model. The record is from RNAcentral.